GUGUGUGUGUGUGUGUGAGUGCAUGAUGCAUUUAUGUUGGUUCUGGUCAACCAGUUACCUGUGUUUCUUCCAUAUCCGUGUCUUGGUUGUUUACUAUCUAAAUAAAUGAUCAACUGAUUUUUUUUUUAUCAUUUUUCAUAAAUAAUUCAUUAUUGAUUCCUAGUUUUUGAGAUCUAUUAUUUUAUUUUUGUUUUGUUUUCAGGAUAAAGGUAGGCUAAUUGCCAAUCUGAAAAUCAUUCAGGACU
This 245-nucleotide unclassified non-coding RNA is filed under the name Hevea brasiliensis (rubber tree). The record is from RNAcentral. Lineage: Eukaryota; Viridiplantae; Streptophyta; Magnoliopsida; Malpighiales; Euphorbiaceae.